RNAcentral lists this unclassified non-coding RNA (261 nucleotides) under Hevea brasiliensis (rubber tree). Lineage: Eukaryota; Viridiplantae; Streptophyta; Magnoliopsida; Malpighiales; Euphorbiaceae. The record is from RNAcentral.
ACAUUUCAGUAAAUCGGCACAUACUUCAUAGAUAUGCAAAUGAAGAUGUUUCGCUAGGAUCUUGGUUUAUUGGGCUUGAUAUUGAGCACAUUGACGAUCGAAGCCUCUGCUGUGGAACUCUACCUGACUGCGAGUGGAAGACUCAAGCGGGGAAUCCUUGUGCUGCAUCAUUUGAUUGGACCUGCAGUGGCAUUUGCAAGUCAGUGGAGAGAAUGGAGGAAGUACAUCAGCGGUGUGGGGAAGGUGAUGGAGCAAUCUGGC